Molecule: long non-coding RNA, 378 nt
Filed under: Homo sapiens (human)
Lineage: Eukaryota; Metazoa; Chordata; Mammalia; Primates; Hominidae
Description: non-protein coding lnc-TENM3-3:6
Source: RNAcentral
CUUGAAUGAAGUGAUCAUGUAAACUAGAGAAAGGAGAUUAAAAAUAACCUCUGGAUAUUCCUCUCAUGUGAUCUUUAUUCUGGAUGAAGCAUUAGGACAGCUAAUAGCCGUGUGUCACUAUGCAUACAAUUGAUUUAAUUCAGAUCUUGUUUUUAAUAUGUAUUCACCAUUGGACAAUGCAUGGUUUCUUUAAAUUUAAUUCAGUUGGAACCUGACGGAUGACUUCGGCCUGCUGGCAUGCUCUUUUCGUUUUACCGUUCCGUGCGUGCUCCAUUCCCCAUAGCCAUCAUCUUGAUUUUGUGUUUAUCAAUCCAUUGCUUUUUUAUAAUUUUCCUGGAUAUACAUAUUUAUCUAAAAAAUAUAACGUUUACAUUUGCU